RNAcentral lists this unclassified non-coding RNA (187 nucleotides) under uncultured Clavicipitaceae. RNAcentral describes it as "sequence contains ITS1". The record is from RNAcentral. Lineage: Eukaryota; Fungi; Ascomycota; Sordariomycetes; Hypocreales; Clavicipitaceae.
CCGAGUUUACAACUCCCAAACCCACUGUGAACCUAUACCAUCUACCGUUGCUUCGGCGGGUUUUUCGCCCCGGAACAGGCUCUCCCCUUCCAGGGGGGGCAGGCCCGGAACCAGGCGCCCGCCGGGGGACCCAAACUCUUGUAUUUUACCUAUGGCAUGUCUGAGUGGAAUCAUACACAAUGAAUCA